Molecule: ribosomal RNA, 336 nt
Filed under: Triticum aestivum (bread wheat)
Lineage: Eukaryota; Viridiplantae; Streptophyta; Magnoliopsida; Poales; Poaceae
Description: partial small subunit ribosomal RNA
Source: RNAcentral
AUGGAUGCGGACAGGCAGCAAGGGACCAAAGGCCUCCACAGGAGACGGACGUUUUCUUCCUCCAAGGGCCAGACCACGAGCCCGAAAACUUUGCGCCAGGCCUCUGAAGAUGUUGCCAACUCAUUCCUCUCCUCUUAUAUCCUUCCUGACAAAAAACACAUACGGAUGCUAAUCGACUUCAAGCGGCGACAAAUACUGCCUGGCAAUGGCAAAAGGAGGAGCAAACACGAGAGAGCUGUGCGACAAGAAAACUUUAAACCUACGGCGACAAAUCCCUGCGCCGGAAAAGCGGGAAAAGAUGCCACAAAGGAUAAAAUUUCAGAACGGAGUUCGUAG